Molecule: transfer RNA, 76 nt
Filed under: Corynebacterium sp. HMSC034B08
Lineage: Bacteria; Bacillati; Actinomycetota; Actinomycetes; Mycobacteriales; Corynebacteriaceae
Description: tRNA-Arg
Rfam family: tRNA
About the family: Transfer RNA (tRNA) molecules are approximately 80 nucleotides in length. Their secondary structure includes four short double-helical elements and three loops (D, anti-codon, and T loops). Further hydrogen bonds mediate the characteristic L-shaped molecular structure. tRNAs have two regions of fundamental functional importance: the anti-codon, which is responsible for specific mRNA codon recognition, and the 3' end, to which the tRNAs corresponding amino acid is attached (by aminoacyl-tRNA synthetases). tRNAs cope with the degeneracy of the genetic code in two manners: having more than one tRNA (with a specific anti-codon) for a particular amino acid; and 'wobble' base-pairing, i.e. permitting non-standard base-pairing at the 3rd anti-codon position.
Source: RNAcentral
GCGCCCGUAGCUCGACGGAUAGAGCAUCUGACUACGGAUCAGAAGGUUGGGGGUUCGAAUCCCUCCGGGCGCACCA